ACUACGGGUGGCAGCAGUGGGGAAUAUUGCACAAUGGGGGAAACCCUGAUGCAGCGACGCCGCGUGAAGGAAGAAGUAUUUCGGUAUGUAAACUUCUAUCAGCAGGGAAGAAAAUGACGGUACCUGACUAAGAAGCCCCGGCUAAUUACGUGCCAGCAGCCGCGGGAACACGUAGGGGGCAGGCGUUAUCCGGAUUUACUGGGUGUAAAGGGAGCUUAGGCGGUUUAGCAAGACAGAAGUGAAAGCCCGGGGCUCAAGUCAGGGACUGCUUUUGAAACGGUUGAACUAGAUUGCAGGAGAGGUAAGUGGACUUCCUGGGGUAGCGGUGAAAUGCGUAGAUAUUAGGAGGAACACCAGUGGCGAAGGCGGCUUACUGGACUGUAAAUGACGCUGAGGCUCGAAAGCGUGGGGAGCAAACAGGAUUAGAUACCCGAGUAGUC
RNAcentral lists this ribosomal RNA (440 nucleotides) under uncultured bacterium. RNAcentral's name for it is "partial 16S ribosomal RNA". It matches the Rfam family "Bacterial small subunit ribosomal RNA", at positions 338 to 795 of the family's 1533-position model. The record is from RNAcentral.